This 253-nucleotide ribosomal RNA is filed under the name uncultured bacterium. RNAcentral's name for it is "partial 16S ribosomal RNA". It matches the Rfam family "Bacterial small subunit ribosomal RNA", at positions 524 to 776 of the family's 1533-position model. The record is from RNAcentral.
UACGUAGGGGGCAAGCGUUGUCCGGAUUUAUUGGGCGUAAAGAGCGUGUAGGCGGCCAUGUAGGUCCGUUGUGAAAACUCGAGGCUCAACCUCGAGACGCCGAUGGAAACCAUGUGGCUAGAGUCCGGAAGAGGAGAGUGGAAUUCCUGGUGUAGCGGUGAAAUGCGCAGAUAUCAGGAGGAACACCGGUGGCGAAGGCGGGUCUCUGGGCCGAUAUUGACGCUGAGACGCGAAAGCGUGGGGAGCGAACAGG